UAGGAUGGGUGACCUCCUGGG
RNAcentral lists this non-coding RNA (21 nucleotides) under Arabidopsis thaliana (thale cress). The record is from RNAcentral. Lineage: Eukaryota; Viridiplantae; Streptophyta; Magnoliopsida; Brassicales; Brassicaceae.